UACGGGGGGGGCAAGCGUUGUUCGGAAUUACUGGGCGUAAAGGGCUCGUAGGUGGCCAACUAAGUCAGACGUGAAAUCCCUCGGCUUAACCGGGGAACUGCAUCUGAUACUGGAUGGCUUGAGAUUGGGAGAGGGAUGCGGAAUUCCAGGUGUAGCGGUGAAAUGCGUAGAUAUCGGGAGGAACACCUGUGGCGAAAGCGGCUCACUGGACCACAACUGACGCUGAGGCGCGAAAGCUAGGGGAGCAAACAGG
This 253-nucleotide ribosomal RNA is filed under the name uncultured bacterium. RNAcentral describes it as "partial 16S ribosomal RNA". It matches the Rfam family "Bacterial small subunit ribosomal RNA", at positions 524 to 776 of the family's 1533-position model. The record is from RNAcentral.